This 86-nucleotide small nuclear RNA is filed under the name Nannospalax galili (Upper Galilee mountains blind mole rat). Lineage: Eukaryota; Metazoa; Chordata; Mammalia; Rodentia; Spalacidae. The record is from RNAcentral.
GUGAAAAAAAUGGAAUGAUGCAGAGAAAAUCAGCACGGUCCCUAUGCUGGGAUGAGACACAAAUUCAUGAAGCAUUCAAAAAUCUU